GUGGCCAUAGCUCAAUUGGUUAGAGCGCCGCUCUGUGGAAGCGGAGGUUGCCGGUUCGAUCCCGGUUGGCCACCCCA
Molecule: transfer RNA, 77 nt
Filed under: Parcubacteria group bacterium CG10_big_fil_rev_8_21_14_0_10_38_31
Lineage: Bacteria
Description: tRNA-His
Rfam family: tRNA
About the family: Transfer RNA (tRNA) molecules are approximately 80 nucleotides in length.
Source: RNAcentral